CCGGCAGUGGCUGAGGCGGAGUGCUGCAAGCUGAAGUAGGGUUUGCCUGCGUACCCCCUGUUCUGGGCCCCAAGUCGGCCCGAAAAACCCACGGACCUCCCCGCCCAGGCCCCGAAUCGUGGCGCAGGUCAGGGGCUCUGUGGCCAGCCGCAACCCAACAAGGCAGGGACGGCGGGCGGCGGCAGGCGAGGCUCCGAAGAGAAAUCCAAAGCUAGUCUCCGAUGGUCACACUUGUGAACACCAGAUGGUCCAGGCCUGCCAGGACUGACCCACUCUGCUUGGAGUCGCCCUCGAAGUAUCAGAAAGGACCCACAACGGUGAUAAACACUCCCAGACGCCCUGAAGGUAAUGCGGCCCCCCAUCUUUCCUCAUAGGUUACUUGCUGGCAUUCCUAUUAAACAACCUGGCAUUUGUUUACAAGUGAAAAACACCCUAACCAUGGAGGUCAGAUGGGCCAGCAGAAGAGGAACUAGGGGAGAACACACCUGCUCAACAAGGAGAAGGCAGCCUUGGGACCAUCAAAGUUGUGAAUGCAAGCAAAUAAAUGUUUCGUAGACUUUUUAAAAGUAA
Balaenoptera ricei (Rice's whale) is the source of this 570-nucleotide long non-coding RNA. RefSeq lists it as uncharacterized. Lineage: Eukaryota; Metazoa; Chordata; Mammalia; Artiodactyla; Balaenopteridae. The transcript is spliced from 2 exons. The record is from RefSeq and is a predicted model, not a curated record.